Molecule: non-coding RNA, 1412 nt
Organism: Paramuricea clavata
Lineage: Eukaryota; Metazoa; Cnidaria; Anthozoa; Malacalcyonacea; Plexauridae
Source: the annotation of a GenBank genome assembly
AGGUAUCCAACCAAUAUCCUUUCGUCAACUAAAAUUCCUGUUCCAUCUCUCCUACCCAAGUCUGGAAUGGAUGGUACCACAAUUCCUUUAUCUACCUUGGUGGAUGGUUGCCAUUGGGACACACAAGUUUUAGUACAGUAAUCUAAUGCUACAUAUCGAAAUGGUCUUAUAUGCAAAUAUUACUGAUCUCAAAAUAAAAAGUGGAUAGUGGAUCAUGUCUACCCACCAAAAAUGUACUGGGACGUUCCUGAUUUAUGUUAAAACAGUUUUUACAAUUUGUGAAUGUUGACAGAAAUAUAUUGUCUAGAUUUGAGUUGGUCAUCAGUGACCUAAUGCAUUGAUCAGGUCAUACCCUGGUCGUACUAAUAUGGCUGCCUCUAGUUUUAUUAAGGUAGUGUUCAAAACGUUCAAGAACUCAUUAAAGCAAUGCAUACAUCUCUCACGUUUCACCCAAAUUCCAUUUUGCUUCACUUCAAGCAGAACUAAAAGAUCUGUAACAAGAUUGAGAAAUUUCAAAAUCAAUUCCAUUAAAAUAUGCUUCAAAAAUGGUUUAUUCAAUUCAAGAGGAUGCCCUAUCCAGCCCUGGUUAUGAGAUCAGUGGUACGGUGAAUGCUAUUAUAUUUCUGUGUAUGUGGUCACUGGUACUAUACUAUAGAAGCAUGCCAUUACUCUAGCUAGUAUGAGGAAACUAAUCGACUAAAUGUUUGAGGAAUAUUUCAUCCAAUCUUGAUAAUAAUGAUAAAUAGAAAAUGAAUGUUGAAUUGCCGAUGGUAUUUAAUAACACGUACAAUAUGUAGUUUUUGUUUACAUUCCGAUUUUGAAGUUGUUUUUUGUCCGGCACGGAAACCAACGAGCUUUGGCCAUUUGUUCGUGAAUUAAUUCGAUUGGUUCAUUUGAAUGCCCAGCGGUUGUUUCACACAAAACCGGAAACCUAACCCCCUUCCCUAACCUCUAUUUACACCUAACCCUAACUGAGCAUCCCACCUGCGAAUUCUACGCCAGCAAAACGAAGGUCUGUGGACAGGCUAGUGCAAGGCGUGCGAGUGCCUUACGGCUACCGAGUAUUUGCUACAAAAUUGAUGAAAUUUACUUGAUGUCACUUUAGCAUGCUGACAGAAUGAAGAAAAUAGUUGUGCCGGACAAAUAACCAAAGUUCAUUGGUUUCCACGACCGUAAAAAUAACUACUUCCUUUCAAUUUAUUUUUGAAAAUAGAAAUUCUGCAUAUUUGAAAUAGAAAAUGAUCUUAUUCACCUUCGCUACAUGCAGUUUUUAGAAAAUUAACGUUAGCACAAAUCCUCUAUUUCAGCAUUCAAAACAGCCGGAAACGGGCAGCGUUAUCUUGUUUAGAAAUCUUUAUCGAUGUGUAUAGGUUUACUCGUAAUUAUUGAUUUAUUGUACUCGUUGUUUCGGG